This 27-nucleotide ribosomal RNA is filed under the name Paramycosphaerella sticheri. RNAcentral's name for it is "partial 28S ribosomal RNA". Lineage: Eukaryota; Fungi; Ascomycota; Dothideomycetes; Mycosphaerellales; Mycosphaerellaceae. The record is from RNAcentral.
GUUGACCUCGGAUCAGGCAGGGAUACC